UCUGCCCGCUGGCGGCGUGCCUAAUACAUGCAAGUCGAGCGAACAGAUGAGGAGCUUGCUCCUCUGACGUUAGCGGCGGACGGGUGAGUAACACGUGGAUAACCUACCUAUAAGACUGGGAUAAAUUCGGGAAACCGGAGCUAAUACCGGAUAAUAUAUUGAACCGCAUGGUUCAAUAGUGAAAGACGGUUUUGCUGUCACUUAUAGAUGGAUCCGCGCCGCAUUAGCUAGUUGGUAAGGUAACGGCUUACCAAGGCAACGAUGCGUAGCCGACCUGAGAGGGUGAUCGGCCACACUGGAACUGAGACACGGUCCAGACUCCUACGGGAGGCAGCAGUAGGGAAUCUUCCGCAAUGGGCGAAAGCCUGACGGAGCAACGCCGCGUGAGUGAUGAAGGUCUUCGGAUCGUAAAACUCUGUUAUUAGGGAAGAACAAAUGUGUAAGUAACUAUGCACGUCUUGACGGUACCUAAUCAGAAAGCCACGGCUAACUACGUG
Molecule: ribosomal RNA, 497 nt
Filed under: uncultured bacterium
Lineage: Bacteria
Description: partial 16S ribosomal RNA
Rfam family: Bacterial small subunit ribosomal RNA
Source: RNAcentral